AAUACUUCAAGCUAUCCUAUACACUAUCUUGCAGUAUUUUAAAGGCAAAGAUGAAGACCAUCCCAAUCGUCUCUCUGGAAAUCUUCCUUCAAAGAGGUAGCUUUGGAGAUGUUGCUACUUAAGAUUCCACAGGCUAAAUGCACCAUCAGUGGAUGCAUAGAACAAGGCAAGAGAUGGCUGGAAUCAACCUCGAGAAGCUAUAGUAUAAAGUGGAUCACAGAUUGCUCACGCUUAAAAGGUGAACCAUUUGAUAGUGGUAAUAAUAACCACAGAAAGGAAGAGGAGAGAAAUGUUGAAAGAAACAGAAGGCUGAAACAUUCGACAUCCCCUGUACUUCUGUCUUUGCAGAAAAUGUUCAAAAUGCUUAGCGCAACAAGCUUGAGCAAGAGAAGCACAGGCAAAAACAGGGAAAGAGCAGGGUGUUUGAAUGUCAGAUGAAUUCACAUCAGUGGGACCUACAGAAAUUCAUCCUGGAGCGCUUAGGAAACUUGUUAGAGCAAUCUCUAAACCAUUAGUAAUUAUCAUCAAGAUCUUAUGGAAACUGUUGUGUUCCCAAAGGCCUGAGGAAAGACAAAUUAGUAGCUUUUAAAAGUGGAAAAGAAGAACUUGGGGAUUAGUAGACAAGGUGGCAUUGCAAUGACACCUGGAAAGAUACUGGGACAAAUGAUUAAUAAUCUGUUUUUAAGACUCUCAAGCAUAACAAGCAGAAAAGAAGCAAACAACACAGAUUCGUCAAAAGCAGAUCACAUAAGACCAAACUCAUUAGCUUCUUUGACAGUAUAACUGGCUUUGUGGAGUGUGAAGAAGCUGUUAGAAGUGAUUUAGUUUGACUUCUGUAAGGCUUUCAAGAUAGUCUCUCCUACAUGCAGCAGAAAAACAGAGUUAUAAUUUGAUUUGUCUAAGGUGAGUGUAUCAUUCUCUAAAUUCAAAAGUGCUAUGUUAACAUACUGGGAGGGUAUUUUAAUAGAGGCAUAGAUGUGCCUUGCUCCUGUUUAAUUAUUUCACAAAAGACAUUCAAGAUGGGGCAGAGAAUCCAGCUAUAAAAACUGCUAUAGUUGAAAUCUGGCUGGUUGAAAGCACCUUGGAUGAAAAUCUUAUAGAAAGUAACAAUCUUGAUCAAGUGGAGAAAUUGUUUGAAUUCAACAGAAUGAAAUUCAUCAUGGACUGCAAAGUGGAUUAAGGAAGGACGGAAGAGUGUACAAACACAAAAUAUGCAAUACCUGGUAAAGACUUUAACAGACUUCAUGCUAUAUGAGUCUAAACAACAUGCCCCAAAAAUGCAAGUGUCUUUCUGAGAUGUACUAACAGAAGCAUAGUGAGUACAACAAGGUCAGUCAUUAUUCCAUUCUACUCGUUUCAAUACAGACACAGCCUUACUGAAGGAGUUUAUCCCAUUUUCCACAACACUUGAGGAAAAAUGAAUAACAUGGAGAGAUCUCAAAGAGGGCAAAAAAUAAUGAGAAGGUAAUAAACAUGAUUUAUCAAGAUAGAAGGAGCUGAUAGAGAAGACUAUAGAAGGCUUUGCUUCAUUUCCUUCACUAUAAAAAUUUAUUAUAAACUGUUGUUUUCUGCAUUUACCUAUGAUGUAUGGACUAUUAGCAAGAACUACAACAGGCUAGAUAUGAGGUAGGACUUUGUAAUGAUAGCACAAAAUAAGCUCUAGAAUAGUUUAUAGAUAGGGAGGCUGUGAAAUGUUUACCACAAAAAUGUUUUAAAUGUGGAUUAGAGAAACAUCUGUCAAUGGACAUUUAGACAGAGGCUGGACUAGAUAAGUCACUUGAGGUCCUUAUAUUUUUGUGUAGCUGAACCAGCAAUCACCAUGAAGCUUGUGCUUGGAAUGGGCAAGAACUUCAGCCACUGGGUACCCCCUAAUCUCCAAAAUAUAGGUACUAGAGCUAGUUGAGAGUCAGUAGAGAAAAGGAUAAUAAUAGUUCUUCUGGAACAGAAAGCUUAUUUGCAUUCUAGGCCUGCCCGUAUUUGCAUUUAUUUUGUGUGGCUAUAGGUAUUCAGUGCAACACAAGUUUCAGUUUCCUUCCCAGACUGCGUACUCAUUAUGUGUGGCCUAAAUGACUCUAAAUUCUUUCAAGCUUUUUGCUGCUUUCUGUGUUACAUGAAUGCAACCAACACCUUACACAGUUGUGUAGGAAUUCAACUGAAGAUCACAUUUGCAUUACCCUGUAAGGGUUAUACUUUCAAAUGAAGACCCAAAGGAAGGUUUGCAGGCCGAAAAGCUUGUUUCAUUUUUCCUAUUACUUUUUCGUUCAAUGAAAAGAUACUACUUCUUCCUACAAUUUUUUUCUCACUUAUAUCCCUUGACAGUCUUACCACUGGUACUGUUCACACAUGCUUCGAACUGUUCACACAUGCUAAACUAUUGCGGCCUUCAUAAUUUCAAACAUUUAAAUGAUGAAAAAUGAAAAGUUAUGCCACAAGCAUAACUGCAUUGCUGUGCUUUGAGGAAAAAAAUAUGCCCAUGGUGCACUAUGUUUUAGUUGCAUCUUUUUCGUUAACCGUAUCAACUACUGAAAUUAUCAUAGUAGAUGUCCCAUUUUUUUCUUACAAGAGAUCUUAGAAUAGCAGUCUUCUGCUACCCUACCAAUGGUCUUUACCCACUAUUUC
Molecule: long non-coding RNA, 2619 nt
Organism: Gallus gallus (chicken)
Lineage: Eukaryota; Metazoa; Chordata; Aves; Galliformes; Phasianidae
Source: Ensembl